GAUGAAGAACGUAGCGAAAUGCGAUACUUGGUGUGAAUUGCAGAAUCCCGUGAACCAUCGAGUCUUUGAACGCAAGUUGCGCCCGAAGCCAUUAGGCCGAGGGCACGCCUGCCUGGGCAUCACACGUCGUUGCCCCCCCCCAUCUACUCCUUCGGGAUUGCGGGGGGCGGAUGAUGGCCUCCCGUGCGCCUCGCCGCGCGGUUGGCAUAAAUGCCAAGUCCUCGGCGACGCACGCCACGACAAUCGGUGGUUGCGAAACCUCGGUUGCCCGUCGUGUGCGGUCGUCGCGCAUCGAGGGCUCGAAAAAAUUGCCGAGUUCCGGCUCGGCUUUCAACGCGACCCCAGGUCAGGCGGGGUUACCCGCUGAAUUUAAGCAUAUCAAUAAGCGGAGGA
Molecule: unclassified non-coding RNA, 393 nt
Filed under: soil metagenome
Description: partial contains 5.8S ribosomal RNA, internal transcribed spacer 2, and large subunit ribosomal RNA
Rfam family: 5.8S ribosomal RNA (bases 1-122)
Source: RNAcentral